This 460-nucleotide ribosomal RNA is filed under the name uncultured bacterium. Its description in RNAcentral is "partial 16S ribosomal RNA". It matches the Rfam family "Bacterial small subunit ribosomal RNA", at positions 338 to 795 of the family's 1533-position model. The record is from RNAcentral.
CCUACGGGUGGCAGCAGUGAGGAAUAUUGGUCAAUGGCCGUAAGGCUGAACCAGCCAAGUAGCGUGAGGGAAGACUGUCCUAUGGGUUGUAAACCUCUUUUAUGCGGGGAUAAAGGUGUCCACGUGUGGAUGUUUGCAGGUACCGCAUGAAUAAGGACUGGCCAAUACCGUGCCAGCAGCCGCGGUUAUAAGGAAGGUUCGGGGGUUAUCCGGGUUUAUUGGGUUUAAAGGGAGCGUAGGGCGGUCUUUAAGCGUGCCGGGAAAUUUUGUGGCUCAACCAUGAGAGUGCGGCGCGAACUGGAGACCUUGAGUGCGCGGAAGGCAGGCGGAAUUCGUGGUGUAGCGGUGAAAUGCAUAGAUAGCACGAAGAACCCCGAUUGCGAAGGCAGCCUGCCGCAGCGUUACUGACGCUGAAGCUCGAAAGCGCGGGUAUCGAACAGGAUUAGAUACCCGAGUAGUC